CAGGAGAGCUUGCUCUCUGGGUGACGAGCGGCGGACGGGUGAGUAAUGUCUGGGAAACUGCCUGAUGGAGGGGGAUAACUACUGGAAACGGUAGCUAAUACCGCAUAACGUCUUCGGACCAAAGUGGGGGACCUUCGGGCCUCACGCCAUCAGAUGUGCCCAGAUGGGAUUAGCUAGUAGGUGGGGUAAUGGCUCACCUAGGCGACGAUCCCUAGCUGGUCUGAGAGGAUGACCAGCCACACUGGAACUGAGACACGGUCCAGACUCCUACGGGAGGCAGCAGUGGGGAAUAUUGCACAAUGGGCGCAAGCCUGAUGCAGCCAUGCCGCGUGUGUGAAGAAGGCCUUCGGGUUGUAAAGCACUUUCAGCGAGGAGGAAGGGUGGUGUGUUAAUAGCGCAUCACAUUGACGUUACUCGCAGAAGAAGCACCGGCUAACUCCGUGCCAGCAGCCGCGGUAAUACGGAGGGUGCAAGCGUUAAUCGGAAUUACUGGGCGUAAAGCGCACGCAGGCGGUUUGUUAAGUCAGAUGUGAAAUCCCCGCGCUUAACGUGGGAACUGCAUUUGAAACUGGCAAGCUAGAGUCUUGUAGAGGGGGGUAGAAUUCCAGGUGUAGCGGUGAAAUGCGUAGAGAUCUGGAGGAAUACCGGUGGCGAA
Molecule: ribosomal RNA, 655 nt
Filed under: uncultured bacterium
Lineage: Bacteria
Description: bacterial SSU rRNA
Rfam family: Bacterial small subunit ribosomal RNA
Source: RNAcentral